GGGGGAGCAAACGGCUGGAGCGCCGCGCGGUGCACUGUGGGGCGGAAGCAGAGAGUCACCGCUCCGUUAGGGCCGCCAUCUUGUCUGCGUCCGGACCUGCUGCCGCUCUCGGGGCCUGCUCGUUCUCUUCGUCGCGUGAAGCGGUGGAGAAAGUGAGGACGCGGCGCACGGCCGGGUGGUGCUGAUGCGUGCGGGGUCUUCUCGCUCCUCCCUCGGGCGCCGCUAGUAGAAGGGGGCGGAGGUAGCCGGGCGGUCUCCGGUGCGGCCUUUCCUCUCCUCGGCCGGGAUGGGUCGGUCCCGCAGCCGGAGCUCGUCCCGCUCCAAGCACACCAAGAGCUCAAAGCACAACAAGAAGAAUCGGAGCCGCUCGCGGUCCCGCUCUCGGGAGAAAGAGCGGGCGCGGAAGCGGUCCAAGUCCCGGGAGAGCAAACGCAACCGGCGCCGCGAGUCCCGCUCCCGCUCCCGCUCCAACACGGCCCCCUCCUCCCGCCGCGAUCGGGAACGCGAACGCGAGCGCGCCUCGUCCCCGCCGGACCGCAUCGACAUCUUCGGGCGCACGGUGAGCAAGCGCAGCAGCCUGGACGAGAAGCAGAAGCGGGAGGAGGAGGAGAAAAAAGCAGAGUUCGAGCGGCAGCGGAAAAUGAGAGGUGCUCCAGCCCUCUGAUCAUCUUAGUGGUCCUCCUCAAGACCUGUUCUAAGAGCUCUGC
RNAcentral lists this long non-coding RNA (707 nucleotides) under Gallus gallus (chicken). Lineage: Eukaryota; Metazoa; Chordata; Aves; Galliformes; Phasianidae. The record is from RNAcentral.